Molecule: non-coding RNA, 59 nt
Filed under: Sus scrofa (pig)
Lineage: Eukaryota; Metazoa; Chordata; Mammalia; Artiodactyla; Suidae
Source: RNAcentral
UCCUGCCAGGGCCAGCCCGUGCCAAGUGAAUAAUUCAGCAGGCCGGCCAAGACAGGAGG